This 66-nucleotide transfer RNA is filed under the name Platynereis sp. 2 PA-2020. RNAcentral describes it as "tRNA-Val". Lineage: Eukaryota; Metazoa; Annelida; Polychaeta; Phyllodocida; Nereididae. The record is from RNAcentral.
CAAAAUAGAGCAUGAAAAAUAAUGCAUGUCACUUACAAUGACACGAUAGACUUAGUCUUAUUUUGA